This is a non-coding RNA of Perkinsus olseni, 78 nucleotides long. The record is from the annotation of a GenBank genome assembly. Lineage: Eukaryota; Perkinsozoa; Perkinsida; Perkinsidae.
AAUUACAAUUCGUGGCUUAAUGGACAAGGCGUUUGUCUUCGGAACGAAAAAUUGUGGGUUCGAGUUCCACCGAGAUCG